GACGAACGCUGGCGGCGUGCUUAACACAUGCAAGUCGAACGAUGAAGCUGGAGCUUGCUCCGGUGGAUUAGUGGCGAACGGGUGAGUAACACGUGAGCAAUCUGCCCUUGACUCUGGGAUAACUGCGGGAAACUGUAGCUAAUACCGGAUACGAGGCUCGAAGGCAUCUUCGGGUCUGGAAAGAAUUUCGGUCAAGGAUGAGCUCGCGGCCUAUCAGCUUGUUGGUGAGGUAAUGGCUCACCAAGGCGACGACGGGUAGCCGGCCUGAGAGGGUGACCGGCCACACUGGGACUGAGACACGGCCCAGACUCCUACGGGAGGCAGCAGUGGGGAAUAUUGCACAAUGGGCGAAAGCCUGAUGCAGCAACGCCGCGUGAGGGAUGAAGGCCUUCGGGUUGUAAACCUCUUUUAGCAGGGAAGAAGCGAAAGUGACGGUACCUGCAGAAAAAGCACCGGCUAACUACGUGCCAGCAGCCGCCGCCG
This 483-nucleotide ribosomal RNA is filed under the name uncultured bacterium. Its description in RNAcentral is "partial 16S ribosomal RNA". It matches the Rfam family "Bacterial small subunit ribosomal RNA", at positions 28 to 523 of the family's 1533-position model. The record is from RNAcentral.